Molecule: long non-coding RNA, 364 nt
Filed under: Linum usitatissimum (flax)
Lineage: Eukaryota; Viridiplantae; Streptophyta; Magnoliopsida; Malpighiales; Linaceae
Description: long non-coding RNA (LUSI_LNC006248)
Source: RNAcentral
GAAGGAACAAUAUAAUAAAAGUUCUGUUUGAUGCAUUUUGUAAAGGGACCACAGUCUAGUGAUCAGCUACAUCAUUCAUUUACACUCCACUUUAUUUUUUUUGGAUAUUGAUCAUUUUUUAUUUUUUAUUUUUUCUCCUUUCACCUAUAACACUAAGAAGUCAAAACAAUACACUGAGAUUUGUAAUCAAAUUCUUAAUUUUGUGUGAGUAGAUUAAGUUUGAGAUAUGGUCAAAUUAGAAUUAUCAACGACUAUGUUACGAUGAUAUGAGCUAUAAUGAUGAAAUCACUUAUGUAUGUAUUAUACUAAAUUAACUCUAAUUUUCUACUAAAAUAGACAAACUAAAGAUGAGAUCUGCCAAAGU